UUUCCGUAGGUGAACCUGCGGAAGGAUCAUUAAUGAGUUGUCAUGGGGUUCGAUGCUGGCAGCCAAUGUUUGGAUGCAUGUGCUUGCCCUAACAAUCAUCUUCCAAACACCUGUGCACAUCUUUGAGGGAGUCUUGAGUUGGUUGCCGCUCUUGGGUGAUUUUCUCACAUUCCCUUAAAUCAUUAUACGCUAUUAACAAUGUUGAACGUGCUCUGUGCCGCAAGGCUAUUAAUAUAAUACAACUUUUAACAACGGAUCUCUUGGCUCUC
Molecule: unclassified non-coding RNA, 269 nt
Filed under: plant metagenome
Description: partial contains small subunit ribosomal RNA, internal transcribed spacer 1, and 5.8S ribosomal RNA
Source: RNAcentral